UCAAUAAGCGGAGGAAAAGAAACUAACAAGGAUUCCCUUAGUAACUGCGAGUGAAGAGGGAAAAGCUCAAAUUUAAAAUCUGGCAGUGUUUCACUGUCCGAGUUGUAACCUAGAGAAGUGUAACCUGCGCUGGACCGUGUAUAAGUCUCCUGGAAUGGAGCAUCACUGAGGGUGAGAAUCCCGUCUUUGACACGGACCACCAGUGCAUUGUGGUUGUGCUCUCAACGAGUCGAGUUGUUUGGGAAUGCAGCUCUAAAUGGGUGGUAAAUUCCAUCUAAAGCUAAAUAUUGGCGAGAGACCGAUAGCGAACAAGUACCGUGAGGGAAAGAUGAAAAGAACUUUGGAAAGAGAGUUAAACAGUAUGUGAAAUUGUUGAAAGGGAAACGUUUGAAGUCAGUCGCGUCGGUUGGGGAUCAGCCUGACAUUGUUGGGUGUACUUCCUGGUUGACGGGCCAACAUCAGUUUUGAUUGCCAGAAAAAGGCCAAAGGAAUGUGGCACNUUUGGGUGUGUUAUAGCCCUUGGUCGUAUAUGGUGGUUGGGACUGAGGAAAGCAGCGUGCCGAAAGGCCGGGUUUCGACCACGUUCACGCUGAGGAUGUUGGCAUAAUGGCUUUAAGCGACCCGUCUUGAAACACGGACCAAGGAGUCUAACAUGCAUGCGAGUGUUUGGGUGGAAAACCCUUACGCGUAAUGAAAGUGAAAGUUGAGAUCCCUGUCGUGGGGAGCAUCGACGCCCGGACCAGAACUUUUGGGACGGAUCUGCGGUAGAGCACGUAUGUUGGGACCCGAAAGAUGGUGAACUAUGCCUGAAUAGGGUGAAGCCAGAGGAAACUCUGGUGGAGGCUCGUAGCGAUUCUGACGUGCAAAUCGAUCGUCAAAUUUGGGUAUAGGGGCGAAAGACUAAUCGAACCAUCUAGUAGCUGGUUCCUGCCGAANUUUCCCUCAGGAUAUCAGAAGCUC
RNAcentral lists this ribosomal RNA (960 nucleotides) under Amanita franchetii. RNAcentral's name for it is "LSU rRNA". It matches the Rfam family "Eukaryotic large subunit ribosomal RNA", at positions 43 to 990 of the family's 3401-position model. Lineage: Eukaryota; Fungi; Basidiomycota; Agaricomycetes; Agaricales; Amanitaceae. The record is from RNAcentral.